GAGACAGCAGCAGCCGCGGUAAUACGUAGGGUGCGAGCGUUAAUCGGAAUUACUGGGCGUAAAGCGUGCGCAGGCGGUUUUGUAAGACAGGCGUGAAAUCCCCGGGCUCAACCUGGGAACUGCGCUUGUGACUGCACAGCUAGAGUAUGGCAGAGGGGGGUGGAAUUCCACGUGUAGCAGUGAAAUGCGUAGAGAUGUGGAGGAACACCGAUGGCGAAGGCAGCCCCCUGGGCCAAUACUGACGCUCAUGCACGAAAGCGUGGGGAGCAAACAGGAUUAGAUACCCCCGUAGUCCCUGUCUCUUAUAC
This 308-nucleotide ribosomal RNA is filed under the name uncultured bacterium. RNAcentral's name for it is "partial 16S ribosomal RNA". It matches the Rfam family "Bacterial small subunit ribosomal RNA", at positions 505 to 807 of the family's 1533-position model. The record is from RNAcentral.